CUGUCUCCAUGACAACAGCAAGGCGCCACCCAACGCAGCUCCAACAAGCCCGCCUCCGGCGGCUCCGGAAGCAAGGGGCGACUUUCCGGAGAGAGCCGCAGGGCUCCCUGGGAAAAAGGAAAUGGACGGAGGCGAAAGUGCUUGGGGCUGGGUCGACUGACUGAGAGCGCGCUCCCGGUUUGGAUCCUUGAACUGGAAGAGGAAAUGUCCUGGAAGAAACGCCCUCGGAUGGGCUCUUAGUUGUGACUAGGGUUCUGGAAAGUGGGGAAAAGGAGAGAAAGUUCUUUAGGGCUUUCCAAAAAGUGCUGCCACAUGAUAAAUAUGGAGAAGUAUGGGAAGACAUAAGAAUGGAUA
Sarcophilus harrisii (Tasmanian devil) is the source of this 354-nucleotide long non-coding RNA. RefSeq lists it as uncharacterized. NCBI's taxonomy places the organism in Eukaryota, Metazoa, Chordata, Mammalia, Dasyuromorphia, Dasyuridae. The transcript is spliced from 2 exons. The record is from RefSeq and is a predicted model, not a curated record.